RNAcentral lists this transfer RNA (67 nucleotides) under Solenopsis invicta (red fire ant). RNAcentral describes it as "tRNA-Tyr". Lineage: Eukaryota; Metazoa; Arthropoda; Insecta; Hymenoptera; Formicidae. The record is from RNAcentral.
AAUGUUAUGUCUGAUUAAAGUAAUAAAUUGUAAAUUUAUUUAAGAAAAAAAAUUUUUUCUAACGUUA